Molecule: unclassified non-coding RNA, 1020 nt
Filed under: Hevea brasiliensis (rubber tree)
Lineage: Eukaryota; Viridiplantae; Streptophyta; Magnoliopsida; Malpighiales; Euphorbiaceae
Source: RNAcentral
AGAAAACCUCUCUACAAAAUAACAAAAAAAUGGCAAAUCAACCUCCCCCAUCUCGUCCAUGGUUCCGUUUGCCUUCACUUGUCCGCCCAGCCCCUGAACCUGCUGCAACUUCAACACCUGAGCCAGCUCCUCCCCAGCCUCGUCCGCCUCUCGCUCGACCUGCAUUUAGGCCAGUUGCUCAGCCUGCCCCUACAGCAACUCAACCUCAAGGACCCACUCCUGCCAUACCACCGCCUGCCGUUGCUUCCGUACCAGGUGGAGGUGUGGCAUCGGUACCAACAUCCCCAGCUCCGAGGCCGUCUGCCCCUUCCGCUUCAUUGCCCACUUCUCCGGCUCCAACCACCACAGUGGUUGCUCCAGUCACUACCUCUGCUUCAUUGCCAUCAUCUCCAAGACCCAGAGUUUCAGCUCCUACCUCCUCGCUCCCAUCUUCUCCCUCCCCUAAACCAGCUCCAUCUUCUUCUGUCCCAACGUCUCCAGCUUCUAAGCCAGUACCAACUCCUCCUGCCCCUAAAACAGCACCAAUCACCUCUUCGGUGCCAACUGCCAUGACCACCACUACGGCUCGUGUUCCUAUCCCUGAACCAUCUCCAAGAACCAUCAAGCCUUCGGUUCAAAGCCCACCUCAAUCACCUACGCCUAAGCCCACUGCUCCACCACCUUCUCCUCUGAUCCUACCACCUGCCAAGAUAAGAGCUGAUGCAGGAAGUGAAGAUAAGGUGGUGGAGCAGUGGGCUUAGGCGUAGACAGUGCUAGUUCAAAAAACCAUUGAUAAGCCUAAGCCCUGGCUCAAUGGCGGCGAUUCAGGGAGAAAUCUUGUAGAUGCUGUCAAGACCAGCAUUUCACAACAUGGGAAGCAAGAACCGUCAAAAGACGGAGAAACAAAGGAAAAAGGCCAGCGAAAGAAGAUUUCUGAACAUGGGGGCAUGAGGGUAAUCACAAUUGCUGGAGAAAACAAAGGCGCCUUCAUGGAAGCAAUCCGCUCUCCUAGUAAGAAACACGUGUUCGAGGGCAAUCAGU